GAUUAACGCUGGCGGCGUGCCUAACACAUGCAAGUCGAACGAUGAAACUUAAAUGAUUUCUUCGGAAUGAACUUAAGUGGAUUAGUGGCGGACGGGUGAGUAACGCGUGAGUAACCUGCCUUACACAAGGGGGUAGCCGUUGGAAACGACGAAUAAUACCCUAUGAAACUAUCACUUCGCAUGAAGCGAUAGUCAAAGUGUUAGCGGUGUAAGAUGGACUUGCGUCUGAUUAGCUAGUUGGUGAGAAAAAAGCCCACCAAGGCAACGAUCAGUAGCCGGCUUGGGAGAGUGUACGGCCACAUUGGGACUGAGACACGGCCCAGACUCCUACGGGAGGCAGCAGUGGGGAAUUUUGCACAAUGGGGGAAACCCUGAUGCAGCGACGCCGCGUGAUUUAGAAGGCCUUCGGGUUGUAAAAAUUUUUUGUAUAGGAAGAAAAUGACAGUACUAUACGAAUAAGGUCCGGCUAAUUACGUG
RNAcentral lists this ribosomal RNA (477 nucleotides) under uncultured bacterium. RNAcentral describes it as "partial 16S ribosomal RNA". It matches the Rfam family "Bacterial small subunit ribosomal RNA", at positions 28 to 507 of the family's 1533-position model. The record is from RNAcentral.